UUUUUUGAAGAAGGUAAAAUCGAAUAUAUUUAUCAGAAACUUAGUCUCUCAAGCAUAAGAGGUGCCAAAGAAGAGCUAAGAAGAGUGUCUGUUACAUGAGGUUACCAAAAAGAAACUAAGUGUUACAACCACAGAGAAGCACGCUAAAAGCACAAAAGAGAUUGAAAAUAAAAAAUGAACUCCCGAACAUAAAAGGGGAUUAAGCCACCACACGUGAUAGUUAAAAAAAAAAGGUGAUUUGCCUUCAACCACCAGAAGGAUUGAAGCUUAAUUUCAUCUAUAAGUUGAUUAAUAGAUUCUCCCUUUUGUGUGAAGACCCUAACAUUCUUGCCACACCAAAUAAUCCAAACACAUGAAAGCUAGAUCAUAUAAAAAGCAUAACAAAUGUUCUUAAGAGAAACCACCUAAAGAUACAAUAUCUUCUUUAGAGCCACAUCCACAUGAAUAAAAAGAUGUAUUCGGCUGAAGUACAUGUCUUCUGAUUAAGUUCUCAAUUAUUGGAAGACGAUUUCGAAUUAAACGCAAAUGAAGACGUUGACUUUUAAAGUAAUCUCCUUGUGUCAAAUGAUAGUGUGGUCAUUGUUUAAAGGUUGAUCCAUUGAUGUCAAAAAGUUGUAAGCACUAGUAACAAUGUAUUUUGAUGAGGCAUGAAGUUGUCAAAUCCACCUGUCAUUCACAUCAGCAUGCAAAACAAUAGGUAAUAAAAACGAACAACACUCACACUCCAAUUCUUCCUCCCAAGUCUCAAGUUAACAACCUCCUUUACCAUUUUCAAGCCUCGUCUUCCUCCCUCAUCCUAACAAAAACAUAUCUGCCACAGUUGCCAAUUUGCUAUCAAAAAGGUCAUAAAGACUACUAAAUCUAUCCUUAAGAAUACCUCCCUCCAAUCAAGGAUCCCACUAAAAUAAAGUUCCUACUACAUCUCCCACCUUUCUCCGUAAGUGAUCGAUAAAUCAACUAUCAACCCCUCUCCUACACCACCUUUAAUGCUAAACAUCUUUACAUUGGACCCCUAGUGAAAAUUAGUUUGGCUUCGCCGGUAAUUUCUACCAAACUUCAUACACGCCUACAAAGCCAAAUCUAUUUGAAAGAUUGGAUAGAGAGCAAACUUAAUAAUCUCCAAAUGCUUAAUAAGCCGCCGGAUAUCAAAUCCACCAUGACAUAAAGAUUAUGAAGGAUUUUAGUUAAU
RNAcentral lists this long non-coding RNA (1189 nucleotides) under Medicago truncatula (barrel medic). RNAcentral describes it as "long non-coding RNA (MTRU_LNC000636)". Lineage: Eukaryota; Viridiplantae; Streptophyta; Magnoliopsida; Fabales; Fabaceae. The record is from RNAcentral.